Molecule: ribosomal RNA, 1549 nt
Filed under: Klebsiella pneumoniae subsp. pneumoniae
Lineage: Bacteria; Pseudomonadati; Pseudomonadota; Gammaproteobacteria; Enterobacterales; Enterobacteriaceae
Description: bacterial SSU rRNA
Rfam family: Bacterial small subunit ribosomal RNA
Source: RNAcentral
AAAUUGAAGAGUUUGAUCAUGGCUCAGAUUGAACGCUGGCGGCAGGCCUAACACAUGCAAGUCGAGCGGUAGCACAGAGAGCUUGCUCUCGGGUGACGAGCGGCGGACGGGUGAGUAAUGUCUGGGAAACUGCCUGAUGGAGGGGGAUAACUACUGGAAACGGUAGCUAAUACCGCAUAACGUCGCAAGACCAAAGUGGGGGACCUUCGGGCCUCAUGCCAUCAGAUGUGCCCAGAUGGGAUUAGCUAGUAGGUGGGGUAACGGCUCACCUAGGCGACGAUCCCUAGCUGGUCUGAGAGGAUGACCAGCCACACUGGAACUGAGACACGGUCCAGACUCCUACGGGAGGCAGCAGUGGGGAAUAUUGCACAAUGGGCGCAAGCCUGAUGCAGCCAUGCCGCGUGUGUGAAGAAGGCCUUCGGGUUGUAAAGCACUUUCAGCGGGGAGGAAGGCGAUAAGGUUAAUAACCUUGUCGAUUGACGUUACCCGCAGAAGAAGCACCGGCUAACUCCGUGCCAGCAGCCGCGGUAAUACGGAGGGUGCAAGCGUUAAUCGGAAUUACUGGGCGUAAAGCGCACGCAGGCGGUCUGUCAAGUCGGAUGUGAAAUCCCCGGGCUUAACCUGGGAACUGCAUUCGAAACUGGCAGGCUAGAGUCUUGUAGAGGGGGUAGAAUUCCAGGUGUAGCGGUGAAAUGCGUAGAGAUCUGGAGGAAUACCGGUGGCGAAGGCGGCCCCCUGGACAAAGACUGACGCUCAGGUGCGAAAGCGUGGGGAGCAAACAGGAUUAGAUACCCUGGUAGUCCACGCCGUAAACGAUGUCGAUUUGGAGGUUGUGCCCUUGAGGCGUGGCUUCCGGAGCUAACGCGUUAAAUCGACCGCCUGGGGAGUACGGCCGCAAGGUUAAAACUCAAAUGAAUUGACGGGGGCCCGCACAAGCGGUGGAGCAUGUGGUUUAAUUCGAUGCAACGCGAAGAACCUUACCUGGUCUUGACAUCCACAGAACUUUCCAGAGAUGGAUUGGUGCCUUCGGGAACUGUGAGACAGGUGCUGCAUGGCUGUCGUCAGCUCGUGUUGUGAAAUGUUGGGUUAAGUCCCGCAACGAGCGCAACCCUUAUCCUUUGUUGCCAGCGGUUCGGCCGGGAACUCAAAGGAGACUGCCAGUGAUAAACUGGAGGAAGGUGGGGAUGACGUCAAGUCAUCAUGGCCCUUACGACCAGGGCUACACACGUGCUACAAUGGCAUAUACAAAGAGAAGCGACCUCGCGAGAGCAAGCGGACCUCAUAAAGUAUGUCGUAGUCCGGAUUGGAGUCUGCAACUCGACUCCAUGAAGUCGGAAUCGCUAGUAAUCGUAGAUCAGAAUGCUACGGUGAAUACGUUCCCGGGCCUUGUACACACCGCCCGUCACACCAUGGGAGUGGGUUGCAAAAGAAGUAGGUAGCUUAACCUUCGGGAGGGCGCUUACCACUUUGUGAUUCAUGACUGGGGUGAAGUCGUAACAAGGUAACCGUAGGGGAACCUGCGGUUGGAUCACCUCCUUACCUUAAAGAA